This is a long non-coding RNA of Coccinella septempunctata (seven-spotted ladybird), 459 nucleotides long. RefSeq lists it as uncharacterized. The transcript is spliced from 3 exons. The record is from RefSeq and is a predicted model, not a curated record. NCBI's taxonomy places the organism in Eukaryota, Metazoa, Arthropoda, Insecta, Coleoptera, Coccinellidae.
AACCAUUUCACUCUUAGAACUGGCAAUAUAAUGAGAUGAUGCACCUGUCAGCACCUACAACAGCAUGACAGAAGUUGGUGGCAAAAGUCUAAACAACAUUCGUUAUAAGGAGUAGCAGUAGACUUGAAUUCCCGUAUUGAUCAGAAUCGAGACUCGAUUCUUGAUUGAAGUGUAGUGAGUGUAGUGUUUCCUGGGACUUCGCUGUCAGCAUUUAUGGAAUGACGGAAAGGUCUUAGAGCACAGUCUUGUCCUUUGUGGACAGGGCUGCUAAGGGAUCUCCUGGAAGUCAUUCCCAACUUUAGCCAUCGAUGGACCAGGAGCGUAAAAGCAAAAUGUAAAGGUCAAAGUGAGUCGUUUCGAUUUAUCAGCUGGCACUGAUGAUAAUCGUGAUGAAUUCCGUGGGAAACGCAAAAGUUUGUGAAGUAACUUAUGUCGAUAGAAUUUUGGAGGGUUAGUUUG